GUGCUCGCUCCGGCAGCACGUGUACUAAAAUUGGAACAAUAUAGAGAUGAUUUAGCAUGGCCCCUGCUCAGGGAUGACAUGCAAAUUUGUGAAGCACUCCGUAUUUUU
Molecule: small nuclear RNA, 108 nt
Organism: Zalophus californianus (California sea lion)
Lineage: Eukaryota; Metazoa; Chordata; Mammalia; Carnivora; Otariidae
Source: Ensembl